RNAcentral lists this ribosomal RNA (798 nucleotides) under uncultured bacterium. Its description in RNAcentral is "bacterial SSU rRNA". It matches the Rfam family "Bacterial small subunit ribosomal RNA", at positions 8 to 796 of the family's 1533-position model. The record is from RNAcentral.
AGAGUUUGAUCAUGGCUCAGGAUGAACGCUAGCGGCAGGCUUAAUACAUGCAAGUCGAGGGGCAGCAGGGGUGUAGCAAUACACUCGCUGGCGACCGGCAAACGGGUGCGGAACACGUACGCAAUCUACCCAAAACUGAUGAAUAGCCCUCCGAAAGGAGGAUUAAUACAUCGUAACAUCUUAGAGUGGCAUCACUUUAUGAUUAUAGCUCCGGCGGUUUUGGAUGAGCGUGCGCCUGAUUAGGUAGUUGGUGUGGGUAACGGCCCACCAAGCCUUCGAUCAGUAACUGGUGUGAGAGCACGACCAGUCACACGGGCACUGAGACACGGGCCCGACUCCUACGGGAGGCAGCAGUAAGGAAUAUUGGUCAAUGGACGCAAGUCUGAACCAGCCAUGCCGCGUGAAGGAUGAAGGUCCUCUGGAUUGUAAACUUCUUUUACAGGGGAAGAAAUCGGAAAAUUCUUUUUCCGUUGACGGUACCCUGGGAAUAAGCACCGGCUAACUCCGUGCCAGCAGCCGCGGUAAUACGGAGGGUGCAAGCGUUAUCCGGAUUCACUGGGUUUAAAGGGUGCGUAGGUGGGUCUGUAAGUCAGUGGUGAAAUCUCCAAGCUUAACUUGGAAACUGCCGUUGAUACUAUAGAUCUUGAAUGCUGUGGAGGUGAGCGGAAUAUGUCAUGUAGCGGUGAAAUGCUUAGAUAUGACAUGGAACACCAAUUGCGAAGGCAGCUCACUACCCAGAUAUUGACACUGAGGCACGAAAGCGUGGGGAUCAAACAGGAUUAGAUACCCUAGUAGUCC